GAGUUUGAUCAUGGCUACAGGACGAACGCUGGCGGCGUGCCUAACACAUGCAAGUCGAACGAGGUCCAAUGAGAGCUUGCUCUCAGAAGACCUAGUGGCGAACGGGUGAGUAACACGUGAGAAACCUGCCUCGGAGUGGGGAAUAACUCGGGGAAACUCGAGCUAAUACCGCAUAUCUUCACAUGACCGCAUGGUCGAGUGAAGAAAGAAUUUCGCUCUGAGAGGGUCUCGCGGCCUAUCAGCUUGUUGGUGGGGUAACGGCCCACCAAGGCAACGACGGGUAGCUGGUUUGAGAGAACGAUCAGCCACACUGGGACUGAGACACGGCCCAGACUCCUACGGGAGGCAGCAGUGGGGAAUCUUGCGCAAUGGGCGAAAGCCUGACGCAGCAACGCCGCGUGCGGGAUGACGGCCUUCGUGGUUGUAAACCGCUUUCAGCAGGGACGAAAAUGACGGUACCUGCAGAAGAAGCCCCGGCUAACUACGUG
This 488-nucleotide ribosomal RNA is filed under the name uncultured bacterium. RNAcentral's name for it is "bacterial SSU rRNA". It matches the Rfam family "Bacterial small subunit ribosomal RNA", at positions 9 to 507 of the family's 1533-position model. The record is from RNAcentral.